This 1689-nucleotide long non-coding RNA is filed under the name Podarcis muralis (Common wall lizard). Its description in RNAcentral is "lncRNA (ENSPMRG00000006693.1)". The record is from RNAcentral. Lineage: Eukaryota; Metazoa; Chordata; Lepidosauria; Squamata; Lacertidae.
AUGAUUUCCAUUCGUGAUGUUACAAUAUAUAAAUGUAUAAAGCUUCAAGUGAGAAACUCAAACUAUUAUCUUUAUUCUGCCCUGCAUGUGAAAACUGUUAUGUUUUUGGAGAUUCCUUCUGUCCAUUUAUGGUGUUGUCUCUUUCACUUCCCAGCUGUUGUUUUCUCCCAUCGUGGCUUGUGGAGGAACCGAAUCUUGAAGUUUCUCAGAGGUCUUAUCUCUCCAACCCUUGCUUCAAUGUCUCGGAACAGUCCCCCACAAGCAAUGUGCCAAUCCUUCUGUGUUCAUAUAUUGCCAUCUAGUGUGAGCAGAAGAAGUUGCAAGCAGAUUCAUAGCCAGAGAAUGAUGGGAAGGCAAGGAAUGCCGUGUGGAGCAGUUCCACCACCAAAGAGAAGCAGAACUGGCUUCACAAGCUGCCUGGGUGGGAGACCACCUGGAAAUCAUCUGUAAGCUGCUUGAGAUACUUUGAGAAAGAAUAGGGGUAGAAAUGUGAAAUAAAUAAUGGGUCCAUUCCCCCCCCCCAAUCCUCCCAAGGCACCUUGUUUUCACAAAUCCCCCUUGAUUAUAUGUAUCUCUCUUUUUAGGUGCCAGGCCAGCCUUAAUAGAGUUUUCUGAUGCUGAGCUCUUCUAAGCACUUCUUUUCCUUGUAUUAGGGUCCCUUUUAAAUCUUUACUUUCAGAGGUGCUGAGCAGUCAGGCAGUGUAUGUCUUGGAGCAGAAUCUGACCACCACAGAAAGACUAAAAGAAAUGAGCACAUUCACAAUUGAAAUAUGUCUCAGAAUAGUUCAAGCUGGGCUUUUCUACCCCAUUCUACAGAUGCCUUUGGCAACUUCCACACUGCACAUUUAAAUCACUCUUAAAGGUAAAGGUAAAGGUACCCCUGCCCGUACGGGCCAGUCUUGCCAGACUCUAGGGUUGUGCACUCAUCUCACUCUAUAGGCCGGGAGCCAGCGCUGUCUGCAGGCACCUCCGGGUCACGUAGCCAGCGUGACAAGCUGCAUCUGGCGAGCCAGCGCAGCACACGGAACGCCGUUUACCUUCCUGCUGGUAAGCAGUCCCUAUUUAUCUACUUGCACCCAGAGGUGCUUUCAAACUGCUAGGUUGGCAGGCGCUGGGACCGAACGACGGGAGCGCACCCCGCCGCGGGGAUUCAAACUGCCGACCAUGCGAUCGGCAAGUCCUAGGCGCUGAGGUUUUACCCACAGCGCCACCCGUGUCCCCUAAAAAUCACUCUUAUGCCACCACAAAACUCCUGACUUUCAUCUUCUUUUAGAUGGCAGGAAGCACUUGUGUUUCUAUUGUUACCUUCGUCUCAACAAAACAAAAACCAGCCAUUCUGGCUUUUCACUGAAAUAGUCAACAGAGUUUACUGCUGGAGUGGCAGGACAACCAACUCACUAUAUUUUUAAUCCGUUGCCUCUGGAAGUGAUGCUUGGUUAUUGGCUUAUACAUAAGCUUCAUGUCAUAAAACUCCAGACAUUGCAGAAAAGUUUGCACCAUGGAUGCAGAACAUGUAGAGUUUUAGACAGUAGCAGCACAACCCUCUGCACUCAGAAGUAAGUCUUGCUGAGUUUGAUCCAACUGAUUCACAGGUAAGCAUAUAUAUAGGACUAUUGCUUUAAUUGGACAAGAUAUGCUCACCAGAGAAAUUGUGGCCUUUGUCUUGGUAGCAUUACUGGAGCUAUAGGU